CAGGCUUAACACAUGCAAGUCGAGGGGCAGCAUGGUCUUAGCUUGCUAAGGCCGAUGGCGACCGGCGCACGGGUGAGUAACACGUAUCCAACCUGCCGUCUACUCUUGGACAGCCUUCUGAAAGGAAGAUUAAUACAAGAUGGCAUCAUGAGUCCACAUGUUCACAUGAUUAAAGGUAUUCCGGUAGACGAUGGGGAUGCGUUCCAUUAGAUAGUAGGCGGGGUAACGGCCCACCUAGUCUUCGAUGGAUAGGGGUUCUGAGAGGAAGGUCCCCCACAUUGGAACUGAGACACGGUCCAAACUCCUACGGGAGGCAGCAGUGAGGAAUAUUGGUCAAUGGGCGAGAGCCUGAACCAGCCAAGUAGCGUGAAGGAUGACUGCCCUAUGGGUUGUAAACUUCUUUUAUAAAGGAAUAAAGUCGGGUAUGCAUACCCGUUUGCAUGUACUUUAUGAAUAAGGAUCGGCUAACUCCGUGCCAGCAGCCGCGGUAAUACGGAGGAUCCGAGCGUUAUCCGGAUUUAUUGGGUUUAAAGGGAGCGUAGAUGGAUGUUUAAGUCAGUUGUGAAAGUUUGCGGCUCAACCGUAAAAUUGCAGUUGAUACUGGAUAUCUUGAGUGCAGUUGAGGCAGGCGGAAUUCGUGGUGUAGCGGUGAAAUGCUUAGAUAUCACGAAGAACUCCGAUUGCGAAGGCAGCCUGCUAAGCUGCAACUGACAUUGAGGCUCGAAAGUGUGGGUAUCAAACAGGAUUAGAUACCCUGGUAGUCCACACGGUAAACGAUGAAUACUCGCUGUUUGCGAUAUACAGCAAGCGGCCAAGCGAAAGCGUUAAGUAUUCCACCUGGGGAGUACGCCGGCAACGGUGAAACUCAAAGGAAUUGACGGGGGCCCGCACAAGCGGAGGAACAUGCGGUUUAAUUCGAUGAUACGCGAGGAACCUUACCCGGGCUUAAAUUGCAGAUGAAUUACGGUGAAAGCCGUAAGCCGCAAGGCAUCUGUGAAGGUGCUGCAUGGUUGUCGUCAGCUCGUGCCGUGAGGUGUCGGCUUAAGUGCCAUAACGAGCGCAACCCUUGUUGUCAGUUACUAACAGGUCAUGCUGAGGACUCUGACAAGACUGCCAUCGUAAGAUGUGAGGAAGGUGGGGAUGACGUCAAAUCAGCACGGCCCUUACGUCCGGGGCUACACACGUGUUACAAUGGGGGGUACAGAGGGCCGCUACCACGCGAGUGGAUGCCAAUCCCAAAAACCUCUCUCAGUUCGGACUGGAGUCUGCAACCCGACUCCACGAAGCUGGAUUCGCUAGUAAUCGCGCAUCAGCCACGGCGCGGUGAAUACGUUCCCGGGCCUUGUACACACCGCCCGUCAAGCCAUGGGAGCCGGGGGUACCUGAAGUGCGUAACCGCGAGGAGCGCCCUAGGGUAAAACUGGUGACUGGGGCUAAGU
RNAcentral lists this ribosomal RNA (1439 nucleotides) under uncultured organism. Its description in RNAcentral is "16S ribosomal RNA". It matches the Rfam family "Bacterial small subunit ribosomal RNA". The record is from RNAcentral.